Molecule: ribosomal RNA, 419 nt
Filed under: uncultured bacterium
Lineage: Bacteria
Description: bacterial SSU rRNA
Rfam family: Bacterial small subunit ribosomal RNA
Source: RNAcentral
GGAAUAUAGGUCAAUGGACGGAAGUCUGAACCAGCCAAGUCGCGUGAAGGAUGAAGGUUCUAUGGAUUGUAAACUUCUUUUAUUCGAGGGUAAAGGUCGGUACGCGUACCGAUUUGCAAGUAUCGAAUGAAUAAGCAUCGGCUAACUCCGUGCCAGCAGCCGCGGUAAUACGGAGGAUGCGAGCGUUAUCCGGAUUUAUUGGGUUUAAAGGGUGCGUAGGCGGGCUGUUAAGCGUGAGGUGAAAGCUCGGGGCUCAACCCCGGAACUGCCUCGCGAACUGGCGGUCUUGAAUGUCCGUGCCGUGGGAGGAAUGUGUGGUGUAGCGGUGAAAUGCAUAGAGAUCACACAGAACACCGAUUGCGAAGGCAUCUCACGAACGGAUGAUUGACGCUGAGGCACGAAAGCGUGGGGAUCAAACA